ACGCACGCUGGCGGCGUGCUUAACACAUGCCAGUCGAACGGAAAGGCCCUGCUUUUGUGGGGUGCUCGAGUGGCGAACGGGUGAGUAACACGUGAGUAACCUGCCCUUGACCUUGGGAUAACUUCAGGAAACUGGGGCUAAUACCGGAUAGGAGCUCCUGCUGCAUGGUGGGGGUUGGAAAGUUUCGGCGGUUGGGGAUGGACUCGCGGCUUAUCAGCUUGUUGGUGGGGUAGUGGCUUACCAAGGCUUUGACGGGUAGCCGGCCUGAGAGGGUGACCGGCCACAUUGGGACUGAGAUACGGCCCAGACUCCUACGGGAGGCAGCAGUGGGGAAUAUUGCACAAUGGGCGGAAGCCUGAUGCAGCAACGCCGCGUGCGGGAUGACGGCCUUCGGGUUGUAAACCGCUUUCGCCUGUGACGAAGCGUGAGUGACGGUAAUGGGUAAAGAAGCACCGGCUAACUACGUG
Molecule: ribosomal RNA, 467 nt
Filed under: uncultured bacterium
Lineage: Bacteria
Description: partial 16S ribosomal RNA
Rfam family: Bacterial small subunit ribosomal RNA
Source: RNAcentral